GGUUUUCAGUAGUUUUAAAUUAGUGAAAUAUGUCAGGCUGAUUAAAAGAUGGGGCUAGAACGUGAGGGGGGUGUAUUUGUGCUGCUCUCAUUGUAACAGCCAACAGCCCCAGGUGUGCCUGGAGAAAAGGUUAAGGAGUUAGAAUUUUUGGAUAAAGUGGGACACUAAAAUGUAAAGGUAAGAAGAAGGAAGUAAAGGAAUUAGGAAAGUCAUGAGGGAAAUCUUCCUUUCAUUGUAUGGGUCCCAUUUAUGGAAUAUAUGUAUGGGUUUUCCGGAUUCUGGUUUCUUGGAAAAUAUAUGCAUCAUAAACGUGAUGGCCUCCCAUAUUCAUGUUGGAAAAGAGUAACAGGUUGGCAUGUAAAAGUUCUUUGCAAUUAAGGAAAUGGAUCUUCAGGUUCUCAGAUCCCACAAAGGAAUUUAUCCACCAGGUGUGGGUGCUCCAGACUGUAUUCCAGAUAUGUAUCAAGAGUUCUUUGUUUUUAGUCAUGCACUAUUUUCUUGGAGGAAAUUACAACUAAGGAUUUAACCAUGGACUUCUCAGGUAGGAAUAGCCCUUGUUUUGGCACUAUCCACAAGGUAGGCUGUUUAUGCCUGGCACCUGAAUCUUCUCUGCAAUUUUCAGUGGGAUCCAGCUUGUUCAGAGACUUUUCCCCAGUAACAGCUGCAAGGGAUCUUUAAAUGUGGGGCUCAAUAAAACUGCUAUGCUGGUCAGGAGGGAGCCGCGGGCAUUGCUUUACUCUGCUGCCUGGAACAACAGAAAAGAUGGAUGAAAACAGAUGAAAAAGCAGUUUUCAAGACUUUGGGAUGAGGUGAACCAGGAACGUGUCACAGUAUGGACUGUAAGUUUGGGCUUCUGCCUGGAACAGACCAUGGACUGAAGAGCCUUACUUCUGGCAGAUCUUUUGCCACCAGUAAUGGUUCACCCCACAGCCCUCCUGGAAUCCUCUUCGACCCAUUUCUUUCAGGCUGGGUUCAAGGACUGCCUCUUCUGUGAAGGCAUCUCUUACCCUCCAGGCAGAAUUUUCUAUCCUUUUCUCAGGGGUUCUAAUAGCACUGUAGAUUUUUAAAAACAAGAUUGAAAGCACCCAAAUCUUGGAAUUAUUCCAAAAAUUAAAAAAAAAAUCAACAUA
This is a long non-coding RNA of Felis catus (domestic cat), 1130 nucleotides long. RefSeq lists it as uncharacterized. NCBI's taxonomy places the organism in Eukaryota, Metazoa, Chordata, Mammalia, Carnivora, Felidae. The transcript is spliced from 3 exons. The record is from RefSeq and is a predicted model, not a curated record.